AUAUUAUACGUGGGAACUAAACAAGAUUAACUGUUCUUAUCAGUUUAAUUAAUAUCUGAUGUGUGGGCCAUGUGCUCACUUCGAUAUUAAAUUUAUUAUUUGUGGGGGAGGACUCAUCACAGUGGCAAGCCCUUGCCACUGGGGCCCUCGCGCGUCGCCCAUGCGUUGCACUGCUGCCCGGGCCUGGCGCACCCAAC
Oryza glumipatula is the source of this 197-nucleotide non-coding RNA. Lineage: Eukaryota; Viridiplantae; Streptophyta; Magnoliopsida; Poales; Poaceae. The record is from Rfam.